AGUUUGAUCAUGGCUCAGGAUGAACGCUGGCGGCGUGCCUAAUACAUGCAAGUCGAGCGAACUGAUUAGAAGCUUGCUUCUAUGACGUUAGCGGCGGACGGGUGAGUAACACGUGGGCAACCUGCCUGUAAGACUGGGAUAACUUCGGGAAACCGAAGCUAAUACCGGAUAGGAUCUUCUCCUUCAUGGGAGAUGAUUGAAAGAUGGUUUCGGCUAUCACUUACAGAUGGGCCCGCGGUGCAUUAGCUAGUUGGUGAGGUAACGGCUCACCAAGGCAACGAUGCAUAGCCGACCUGAGAGGGUGAUCGGCCACACUGGGACUGAGACACGGCCCAGACUCCUACGGGAGGCAGCAGUAGGGAAUCUUCCGCAAUGGACGAAAGUCUGACGGAGCAACGCCGCGUGAGUGAUGAAGGCUUUCGGGUCGUAAAACUCUGUUGUUAGGGAAGAACAAGUACGAGAGUAACUGCUCGUACCUUGACGGUACCUAACCAGAAAGCCACGGCUAACUACGUGCCAGCAGCCGCGGUAAUACGUAGGUGGCAAGCGUUAUCCGGAAUUAUUGGGCGUAAAGCGCGCGCAGGCGGUUUCUUAAGUCUGAUGUGAAAGCCCACGGCUCAACCGUGGAGGGUCAUUGGAAACUGGGGAACUUGAGUGCAGAAGAGAAAAGCGGAAUUCCACGUGUAGCGGUGAAAUGCGUAGAGAUGUGGAGGAACACCAGUGGCGAAGGCGGCUUUUUGGUCUGUAACUGACGCGAGCGCGAAAGCGUGGGGAGCAAACAGGAUUAAAUACCCU
This 795-nucleotide ribosomal RNA is filed under the name Sutcliffiella horikoshii. Its description in RNAcentral is "bacterial SSU rRNA". It matches the Rfam family "Bacterial small subunit ribosomal RNA", at positions 10 to 788 of the family's 1533-position model. The record is from RNAcentral. Lineage: Bacteria; Bacillati; Bacillota; Bacilli; Caryophanales; Bacillaceae.